GCGAUUCGCCCUUCGGGGCGCAGCAGGCGCGAAAACUUUACAAUGCGGGAAACCGUGAUAAGGGGACACCGAGUGCCAGCAUCAUAUGCUGGCUGUCCAGGUGUGUAAAAUACACCUGUCAGCAAGGGCCGGGCAAGACCGGUGCCAGCCGCCGCGGUAACACCGGCGGCCCGAGUGGUGAUCGUGAUUAUUGGGUCUAAAGGGUCCGUAGCCGGUUUGGUCAGUCCUCCGGGAAAUCUGACGGCUCAACCGUUAGGCUUUCGGGGGAUACUGCCAGGCUUGGAACCGGGAGAGGUAAGAGGUACUACAGGGGUAGGAGUGAAAUCUUGUAAUCCCUGUGAGACCACCUGUGGCGAAGGCGUCUUACCAGAACGGGUUCGACGGUGAGGGACGAAAGCUGGGGGCACGAACCGGAUUAGAUACCCGGGUAGUCCCAGCCGUAAACGAUGCUCGCUAGGUGUCAGGCAUGGCGCGACCGUGUCUGGUGCCGCAGGGAAGCCGUGAAGCGAGCCACCUGGGAAGUACGGCCGCAAGGCUGAAACUUAAAGGAAUUGGCGGGGGAGCAC
This 566-nucleotide ribosomal RNA is filed under the name uncultured archaeon. RNAcentral's name for it is "bacterial SSU rRNA". It matches the Rfam family "Archaeal small subunit ribosomal RNA", at positions 313 to 879 of the family's 1478-position model. The record is from RNAcentral.